AUCUCUUCGGGGACAUUUGAUAAAAUUGGAACAAUACAAAGAAGAUUAGCAUGGCCUUUGCACAAGGAUGUCACACAAAUCAUUCAAUGUUUAGUUACUUGG
Molecule: non-coding RNA, 102 nt
Organism: Cucumis sativus (cucumber)
Lineage: Eukaryota; Viridiplantae; Streptophyta; Magnoliopsida; Cucurbitales; Cucurbitaceae
Source: Rfam